GCGCACCAGUCGAGAAAACUUCACAAUGUGCGAAAGCACGAUGAGGGAAUCCCAAGUGCUUGCACGUAAGUGUAAGCUGUUUCUCUGUCUAAAACGCAGAGAGAGUAAGGGCUGGGUAAGACGGGUGCCAGCCGCCGCGGUAAUACCUGCAGCUCGAGUGGUGACCGUUAUUAUUGGGCCUAAAACGUCCGUAGCCGGUUUAAUAAAUGCCUGGGUAAAUCGGACCGCUUAACGGUUCGAAUUCCGGGUAGACUGUUAAACUUGAGACCGGGAGAAGUUAGAGGUACUCCUGGGGUAGAGGUGAAAUUCUGUAAUCCUAGGGGGACCACCAGUGGCGAAGGCGUCUAACUAGAACGGGUCUGACGGUGAGGGGACGAAGCCCUGGGGCGCAAACGGGAUUAGAUACCCCUGUAGU
This 415-nucleotide ribosomal RNA is filed under the name uncultured microorganism. RNAcentral's name for it is "bacterial SSU rRNA". It matches the Rfam family "Archaeal small subunit ribosomal RNA", at positions 330 to 745 of the family's 1478-position model. The record is from RNAcentral.